Molecule: ribosomal RNA, 243 nt
Filed under: uncultured bacterium
Lineage: Bacteria
Description: partial 16S ribosomal RNA
Rfam family: Bacterial small subunit ribosomal RNA
Source: RNAcentral
CGGGUGAGUAACGCGUGGAUAAUCUACCCUUAAGAUGGGGAUAACGGCUGGAAACGGUCGCUAAUACCGAAUACGCUCCCGAUUUUAUCGUUGGGGGGAAAGAUGGCCUCUGCUUGCAAGCUAUCGCUUAAGGAUGAGUCCGCGUCCCAUUAGCUAGUUGGUGAGGUAAUAGCCCACCAAGGCGACGAUCGGUAGCCGGACUGAGAGGUUGAACGGCCACAUUGGGACUGAGACACGGCCCAG